CAGUGUGAAUGGAGCGUGAGUGAGUAUGUGGGGACCGGGACGGGCGACUGCGGCCGCGAGUACGAUGCCGGCGAGGUGGUGGCCUUGACGGGGCCUUCCAAGUACGGGCGUUACGAGGCGCGAAUGCUGCCCAACGUCUUGUGGGCU
This 147-nucleotide ribosomal RNA is filed under the name Vitrella brassicaformis. Its description in RNAcentral is "partial Microsporidia small subunit ribosomal RNA". Lineage: Eukaryota; Vitrellaceae. The record is from RNAcentral.